This 382-nucleotide RNase P RNA is filed under the name Acidobacteriota bacterium. RNAcentral describes it as "RNase P RNA component class A". It matches the Rfam family "Bacterial RNase P class A". Rfam says of the family: Ribonuclease P (RNase P) is a ubiquitous endoribonuclease, found in archaea, bacteria and eukarya as well as chloroplasts and mitochondria. Its best characterised activity is the generation of mature 5'-ends of tRNAs by cleaving the 5'-leader elements of precursor-tRNAs. Cellular RNase Ps are ribonucleoproteins. The record is from RNAcentral. Lineage: Bacteria; Pseudomonadati; Acidobacteriota.
CGAGCGGGCCACGUGAUCGCCCCGAGCGAUCGGGGAGGAAAGUCCGAACUCCGAACGGGCGGCAUGCCGGGUAACGCCCGGUCGCGGUGACGCGAAGGAAAGUGCCACAGAAAAGAAACCGCCCUGCGCUCCUCGCGGAGAGCACGGUAAGGGUGAAACGGUGCGGUAAGAGCGCACCGCUCCGCCGGCAACGGCGGAGGCACGGUAAACCCCAUGCGGAGCAAGGCCAAAUAGGGAGUUGGAGGGCGCCCGUCCCAUUCCGCUUCGCGCGGACCAUCUCCGGGUCGGCUGCUGGAACCCGAAGGUGACUUCGGGUCGAGAGGAAUGAUCGCGGUCCCGGGCAACCGGGAGACAGAAUUCGGCUUACCGGCCCGCUCGGAGC